RNAcentral lists this ribosomal RNA (253 nucleotides) under uncultured bacterium. Its description in RNAcentral is "partial 16S ribosomal RNA". It matches the Rfam family "Bacterial small subunit ribosomal RNA", at positions 524 to 776 of the family's 1533-position model. The record is from RNAcentral.
UACAGAGGUCUCAAGCGUUGUUCGGAUUCAUUGGGCGUAAAGGGUGCGUAGGUGGCGAUGUAAGUUUGGUGUGAAAUUUCGGGGCUUAACCUCGAAACUGCAUUGAAUACUGCAUUGCUUGAGGAUUGUAGAGGAGAGUGGAAUUCACGGUGUAGCAGUGAAAUGCGUAGAUAUCGUGAGGAAGACCAGUUGCGAAGGCGACUCUCUGGGCAAUUCCUGACACUGAGGCACGAAGGCCAGGGGAGCAAACGGG